This 102-nucleotide ribosomal RNA is filed under the name Sinocyclocheilus rhinocerous. The record is from RNAcentral. Lineage: Eukaryota; Metazoa; Chordata; Actinopteri; Cypriniformes; Cyprinidae.
GCUAUAUCACCCUGUAGCCCAAGACUAAUCAGCCACUGAAGCUAAGCAGGGUUGAGCCUGGUCAGUACCUGGAUGGGAGACCUCCUGGGAAAACUAGGUUGC